This is a long non-coding RNA of Peromyscus eremicus (cactus mouse), 431 nucleotides long. RefSeq lists it as uncharacterized. The transcript is spliced from 3 exons. Lineage: Eukaryota; Metazoa; Chordata; Mammalia; Rodentia; Cricetidae. The record is from RefSeq and is a predicted model, not a curated record.
UGGGCUACAGCCACCCACGAGCGCUGGUGCAUAACCAGCAACGAUAUUCUAAGUAUUUGAACUUUGCUACCUAAUGUCUUCCUCACAAAAGUUUAAGGAAGUAAGUUUUGUGGUCAUCACGCCCAUUCUGCAGGUGAGAAAACAGAGUCACCAAGAGACUGACAGAACUGUCAAGGUUAUAGCUACACACUGGACCUGAACCAGAAGGCAGGAGUCCGGAGUCCACGCUGUGGCCUACAUCAAAGACGGCGACCUGUCAUCCUGAUCUAUGCUGUAUGUAUACCAUGUGUUACUGCCUCCGCAGGAAGGGAGCCUCUCACUCACUUCUUGAGUCUUCUGUCUUUAUUUCCAACCCUGUUCUGGCUGCUAGUGAUCAGCAGCUCUUCUCAACAAUGCAUUGGACCUCUGGCAAACACAGCUGAAGUGCUCGC